AUGCUUUUGUGUCUCAGGUCCAUCAGAUGCCCUGUUGCCUCCCUCUGCUUUCUUCAGCACAAAUUCCAAUAAUUCACGUGCCUUGCUGGUGGCUACGGCUCCGAUUAGACCCCUAGCCUGGGAACCUCCACCUGCUGUGGGAGCGGCCCAAGAAAUGGCAAAAAANAUCUUUAGGCCCAUCCAUAUUGCUGCAAAUGACAUUUCAUUCUUUUUAUGGCUGAGUAGUAUUCUAUUGUGUAUAUGUACAACAUAUUCUUUAUCCAUUCCUCUGUCAAUAGACAUUUAGGCUCUAUCCAUGCCUUGGCUAUUGUAAAUUGUGUUGCUAUGAAUAUAGGGGUGCUGGUAUCUUUUUGAAUUAUGUUCUUCUCGGGAUAUAUGCCCAAGAAUGGGAUCGAUGUAUGCUAGCUCUAUUUUCAGUUUUUUGGGGUUUUUGUUUGUUUGUUUGUUUUCUUUUUAGGGCAGCAUCUGCAGAAUAGGGAGGUUCCCAGGCUAGGGGUCAUAUUGGAGCUGUAGCUUCCAGCCUACACCACAGCCACAGCAACACCAGAUCCGAGCCACAUCUGCAACCUGUGCCACAUCUUGCGGCAAUGCCAGACACUCUGUUGGGUUCUUAACCUGCUGAGCCACAAUAGAAACUCCUAUUUUUAGUUUUUCAAGGAAACUCCGUACUUUUCUCCGUAGUGAUUGUACAAACUUACACUUCCACCAGCAGUGUAGAAGGGUUCCCUUUUCUCCAUACCCUCUCCAGCAUUUAUUGUUUGUAGACUUUUUGGUAAUUAAUGGUUAUUCUGACCAGUGUGAGGUGGUACCUCCUACUCUUGAUUUAAGACUCAACCAAAAGGAUCUCCUCCUGCUAAAACUUUUCCAGGUCACUGGGUGAGGAGGAGGGCUGGCCUCUGGGUGGGCAGCCAGAGAGGGUGCUGGAGCCUCAGGGUGCUGGCCCUCACUUCCCAUUGAGAGCACUGCGACAGUUCAGUUUUGAAACUUCCUUCUUUAAGAGUAUGCCAGAGGGAGUUCCCAUCGUGACUUAACAGAAAAGAAUCCAAGUAGUAUCUAUGAGGAUGCAGGUUCGAUCCCUGGCCUCACUCAGUGGGUUGGGGGUCUGGCGUUGCCAUGACCUGUAGUGUCGGUCACAGAUGCAGCUCAGAUCCUGAGUGGCUGUGGCUGUGGCUGUGGCCAGCAGCUAUAGCUCUGAUUCACCUCCCCUAACCUGGGAACUUCCAUAUGCUAUGGGUACAGCCCUAAAAAG
Molecule: long non-coding RNA, 1249 nt
Filed under: Sus scrofa (pig)
Lineage: Eukaryota; Metazoa; Chordata; Mammalia; Artiodactyla; Suidae
Description: lncRNA (ENSSSCG00040003453.1)
Source: RNAcentral